GGGGAAUAUUGGACAAUGGGCGAAAGCCUGAUCCAGCCAUGCCGCGUGUGUGAAGAAGAUCUUCGGAUUGUAAAGCACUUUAAGUUGGGAGGAAGGGUUUCUGGCUAAUAUCCAGGAAUUUUGACGUUACCGCCAGAAUAGGCACCGGCUAACUUCGUGCCAGCAGCCGCGGUAAUACGAAGGGUGCAAGCGUUAAUCGGAAUUACUGGGCGUAAAGGGUGCGUAGGCGGUUUAUCAAGUCAGGGGUGAAAGGCUACGGCUCAACCGUAGUGAGCCUCUGAAACUGGUGAACUUGAGUGUAGGAGAGGAAAGUGGAAUUCCCAGUGUAGCGGUGAAAUGCGUAGAUAUUGGGAGGAACACCAGUGGCGAAGGCGACUUUCUGGACUACAACUGACGCUGAGGCACGAAAGCGUGGGGAGCAAACA
RNAcentral lists this ribosomal RNA (425 nucleotides) under uncultured Acetoanaerobium sp. RNAcentral's name for it is "bacterial SSU rRNA". It matches the Rfam family "Bacterial small subunit ribosomal RNA", at positions 356 to 774 of the family's 1533-position model. Lineage: Bacteria; Bacillati; Bacillota; Clostridia; Peptostreptococcales; Filifactoraceae. The record is from RNAcentral.